AAAGUGAAUAACCUCAGCAUGUAAACUUAACUUCAAAGGACGGAGCACAAGUUUCACAGAAAAACAGCUCUUAUUUCUGAUGCUGCGAACACAGAGGAGUGACCUCAAUCUUCUUCAUCACUUGGGAAUUCUGCAAUUAUAGAGCACGACAUUGAGCAUGAACUAGAAAAAAUAUUUAUUUUCUACAAUUUUCAUAUAACCUGACUAACCAAGAUUAAUUUUGUGGUAAUGUAUUGGGUCAUUAAUUCAUAUGUUUUUACUGUCAUCACUUUAGAAAAAACUAAUUUCUCAAUGUGAAAUGGCCCAUAAAAAGUAUUCUCAUUUAAAAACUAAAUUUGACAAACCCCUCGAUUAAAGCAGGGGAGAGAAAAAAAAAAAAAAAGAUCUGAAGGCUUUCCACAUGAAAAUGUUGUCACUUUGGAUGAUAUUCUUCAAAUUGACAGCUCGCCCAGUACUAAACGCGUAUGAGAUCAGUACUGGGACAAGUAAGUCACUUUGGAUGAUAUUUUCAAGGGAUUUCAUUCUAAAAAUAAAAUACCUGGGACCUUAUUCUUCAAAUUGACAGCUCGCCCAGUACUAAACGCGUAU
RNAcentral lists this long non-coding RNA (588 nucleotides) under Citrus sinensis (sweet orange). RNAcentral describes it as "long non-coding RNA (CSIN_LNC005618)". Lineage: Eukaryota; Viridiplantae; Streptophyta; Magnoliopsida; Sapindales; Rutaceae. The record is from RNAcentral.